This is a long non-coding RNA of Lycium ferocissimum, 1789 nucleotides long. RefSeq lists it as uncharacterized. The record is from RefSeq and is a predicted model, not a curated record. NCBI's taxonomy places the organism in Eukaryota, Viridiplantae, Streptophyta, Magnoliopsida, Solanales, Solanaceae. The transcript has 2 exons.
CACCACUUUUGACUUAUCAUCGACGACCGUGUCCAGCAUCAGACCCAACAUCAGGUCCAGAUGAUUCAUGUCAUGCGUCGGACCCUGCACCUAAUGCGGACUUAUCCCCUCCUGAUCAGCCGAUUGCACUUCGAAAGGUGAAGCCCUUUCUCAUCCCGGAUGGCGACGGGCUAUGAUUGACGAGGUGUCUGCUUUACACACGAGUGGUAUUUGGGAGCUUGUUCCUCUUCCUUCAGGGAAAUCUACUAUUGGUUGUCGUUGGGUUUAUGCAGUCAAAGUUGGUCCGGAUGGCCAAGUUGAUCGGCUUAAGGCUCGCCUUGUUGCGAAGUGGUAUACACAGAUAUUCGGGCUUGAUUACAUUGAUACUUUCUCUCCCGUGGCUAAAAUAGUAUCUGUUUGUCUUUUUCUAUCCAUGGCUGUUGUCCGCCAUUGGCCUCUUUAUCAGUUGGACAUUAAGAAUGCUUUUCUCCAUGGUGAUCUUGAGGAGGAAGUUUAUAUGGAGCAACCACCUGGUUUGUUGCUCAGGGGGAGUCUAAUCUGGUGCGUCGAUUGCAUCGGUCACUUUAUGGUCUGAAACAGUCUCCUCGAGCCUUUGGUAAAUUCAGCACAGUAGUUUAGGAGUUUGGCAUGACUUGCAGUGAAGCAGAUCAUUUUGUGUUUUAUCGACAUUCUGCUCCAAAUUUGAGUAUUUAUUUGGUGGUUUAUGUUGAGAUAUCGUUAUAACUGGCAGUGAUCAAGUGGUAUCACUAAUUUAAAGCAACAUCUCUUUCAGCAUUUCCAGACUAAAGAUCUUGGCAGAUUGAAGUAUUUUCUAGGUAUUGAGGUUGCCCAAUCCACGUUAGGUAUUGUUAUUAAGUGACGCAAGUAUGCCUUAGACAUUUUGAGGAGACAGGAAUGAUGGGAUAUAGACCCAUUGACACUCCUAUGGAUCCGAAUGCUAAACUCCUGCCAGGACAGGGGGAGCCACUCAGUGAUCCCGGAAGAUAUAGGCGGCUGGUUGGUAAGUUGAAUUAUUUCACAAUGACUAGACCUGACAUUUCGUUUCCUGUGAGUGUUGUAAGUCAAGUUUAUGGAUUCUCCCUGUGAUAAUCAUUGGGAUGCAGUUGUCCGCAUUCUGCGAUAUAUUAAGUCAGGUCCAGGUAAAGGACUGCUUUUCAAAGAUUGAGGCGAUGAGCAGAUCGUUGGAUAUACAGAUGCUGAUUAUGCAGGAUCACCCUCUGAUAGACGUUCUACAUUCGGAUAUUGUGUGUUAAUAGGAGGUAAUUUGGUAUCCUGGAAGAGUAAGAAACCGAGUGUCGUUGCUCGAUUUAGUGUUGAAUCGGAAUAUCGAGCAAUGGCUGUUGCAACUUGUGAGCUAGUUUGGAUUAAGCAGUUGCUCGGAGAACUAAAAUUUGGAGAAAUCAGUCAAGUGGAACUUGUGUGUGAUAAUAAAGCGGCCCUUUAUAUCGCAUCAAAUCCGGUAUUUCAUGGGAGGAUUAAGCAUAUUGAGAUUGACUGUCACUUUGUCAGGGAAAAGAUACUCUCCGGAGCUAUUGUUACUAAAUUUGUGAAGUCGAGUGAUCAGCUUGCAGAUAUUUUCACCAAGUCAAUCAGUUGUCCUCGUAUUUGAUACAUCUGUAACAAGCUCGGUACAUAUGACUUAUAUGCACUAGCUUGAGGGGGAGUGUUAGAAUAGGAAUAGGAUUUGUAUAUAGUAUCUACAUGGAAAAGGAUUAGAAUGUAGUGUCUAUAAAUAGGGCUCAAUGUAAUAAUGUAGAUACAUAAUUCAAUAAUAAUAUUUUCUCCCAUA